GGUGCUGUAGACUAAGUGGUUAGGUCGGCUUCACGGGAUAGAGGAGAUGCGGGUUCGAAUCCCGCCGGCGCUC
This 73-nucleotide transfer RNA is filed under the name Acanthoscelides obtectus. It matches the Rfam family "tRNA". Rfam says of the family: Transfer RNA (tRNA) molecules are approximately 80 nucleotides in length. The record is from Rfam by way of RNAcentral. Lineage: Eukaryota; Metazoa; Arthropoda; Insecta; Coleoptera; Chrysomelidae.